GUGCCCUUCAUCAUCUUGUGAGCAUCUGGGCCAAGUUCAGGGCUGGUGCUCUCGUUCAGAUAGAUUUAGCUGGUGGUGCAGAGAUCCGUGAGCUUGCUUUUACAGGACUUUAAUGAUAUAUAAAAGCAGCACGAGGUGCUCCUGACUGUGGAUUAAUUUGGAGAUGACUUUCUCUGUUGAAGAGUAGCAAGACUCUCGCGAGUUCUUAAAAAUGCACUUGUUUGGUAUGAGAAUGAAAAGCAGUGGCUGAAGAACCAAUCUUCAAUGGGCAAGCCUUCUCUGUGUCUGUUCUAACACGUGCCAUUUGGGAUCCCUUGGAAUCUUCAUGUACAGAACUGGUUGCUGCCUCGUUGAGUCGGUGGGGACAGAAUAGCUCCUGGUUGACAGCAUGGGUUGUGCAGAAGGACGGAUCCUGCAGACAUCAAUAUCUGGCUUUGAGUGGCACAAAGAAAUAAAGGAAUGUGGAUUCAGACCUCACUGGGAUGCUUGGCAAUUCUAAUUCUACCCCAGACUGCAAAUGGACACACAACUGUUGUGACUUUUGUUGAAGAGGAGAAGGAUGGUGAAGGUCUCUUUAGUCAAUAAUCUCUUUGCUGAAAUUGCUUCGGGCAGCACAGAAGCUGGAUUCAGAAGCACACAGGUCUGGGGAUGCAGGCUUCGGCCAGCCUGAUGCAAGGAAAGACUGCCAUCUCGUGGUCAGCUCAAUCCUGGCACCUUGGUGAGGGACCAGGCUGCAGAAAACCAGGCUUGGGGAGGAAACGGUGCUGCAAACUGGAUUUCUGCCGGACAGUGUGGAUGCCCUUAGAAAACACCCAGAAAAGAGCUGAGUGCCCCCCAAGAUAUCACCUUUUGUCGGAACUUGGAGUUGGUAAUGACCUUCACCAUACCACCACUCUGGGACUGAGCUUCUCUCUACCCUGAUGCAAGAGACCCUAAUAGGCAGGAAUAUGACCACCCCUAUUCAGCCUGAAGAAGUUACAGAAGUUCUGAAACCCUUAGAAAUGAGGGUCUUCUUGUAAAGGGAGUGGGGAGAUAUAUCAGAGGCAUUUGAACCAGAGCAACUCCAUCUUGAGUGAGGGCUAGGAAAAUGAGGCUAGGACUUGCUGGGCUGCAUUCUCAGAAAGUCAGUCAUUCCUAGCCUCUAGAUGUUUACGGUUAAGGGAACAAAUUUAUAACAUUUACUAAACACACCCAGACUUGGGAGUGUCCAGAUAUCCCAAUAUCUGGAGAACAAAGGCAUUCCUAAUUUUGCUUUAAAGACAAUAAUAUUGAUUCUUGCAAAAUAUAGUAAUUAAGAAAAUUAAUCCUUUAUCACAAACCCUUGUAGUAAAACACAUCUCCCCAUAUAUACAAGCAUUGUACCUAAGGUGGAUGCGUUCCAUCUCUUACUUUCAGGAAUGUCCUACACUAUCUAAGGAGUAGCUGUACUUUCACCACUUUACUUUCUUAAUAAACUUGUUUUUACUUUGCACCAAGGACUUGCACUGAAUUCUUUCUUGCGUGAGAUCCAAAAACCCUCUGUUCGGGUCUGGAUUGGGACCCCUUUCCUAUAACAUCCUUCUGGCAACCACAGAAGGGACUAUAGUGUGGAAACUCCCUUCCUAAAUGCUGCUUUUGGGUAAGUGUUGGAGUCCUGUA
Molecule: long non-coding RNA, 1638 nt
Filed under: Homo sapiens (human)
Lineage: Eukaryota; Metazoa; Chordata; Mammalia; Primates; Hominidae
Description: HSALNT0399976
Source: RNAcentral